AGGGGCAAAGGUUGGAACCCUCCUUACCUAAAGAUACGCAUUAUUCAGUGUCCACACAGAUUGUCUGAUAGAAAGUAACGAGCAGAAAUACCUUUAUAGGCUUGUAGCUCAGGUGGUUAGAGCGCACCCCUGAUAAGGGUGAGGUCGGUGGUUCAAGUCCACUCAGGCCUACCAAUUCUUUCCUUCUCUGCGUUGUCUUCACGACUCGUUUGUCAAAUCAAACUUCUCAUGAGUCUCCCUUGAUAUGAAACUAAAUGGCUAACUCUUCUGUUGAUGAGUGAUUAAGGUAUCUGUAAGUGACUGAUUGGGGCUAUACCUCAGCUGGAAAAGCGCCUGCCUUGCACGCAGAAGGUCAGCGGUUCG
RNAcentral lists this unclassified non-coding RNA (363 nucleotides) under Brenneria goodwinii. RNAcentral describes it as "partial may contain 16S ribosomal RNA, 16S-23S ribosomal RNA intergenic spacer, and 23S ribosomal RNA". The stretch from base 98 to 171 matches the Rfam family "tRNA". Lineage: Bacteria; Pseudomonadati; Pseudomonadota; Gammaproteobacteria; Enterobacterales; Pectobacteriaceae. RNAcentral also lists the same sequence under 1 other name. The record is from RNAcentral.